This 422-nucleotide small RNA is filed under the name Pan troglodytes (chimpanzee). RNAcentral describes it as "processed transcript". The record is from RNAcentral. Lineage: Eukaryota; Metazoa; Chordata; Mammalia; Primates; Hominidae.
GUGACAUCGCCGGUGUUUGCGGGUGGUUGUUGCUCUCGGGGCCGUGUGGAGUAGGUCUGGACCUGGACUCACGGCUGCUUGGAGCGUCCGCCAUGAGGAGAAGUUUUAACUUUAGCCAUUCUUUGAGCUGCCGGUUGUAAUUUAAGAAUACUAGGCCCAGGCGCAGUGGCUCAUGCCUGUAAUCCCAGCACUUUGGGAGGCCGAGUGAGGUGCUGGCGGAGGAGUCCAUAGUAUGUCUGCAGAAAGCCCUAAAUCACCUUCGGGAAAUAUGGGAGCUAAUUGGGAUUCCAGAGGACCAGCGGUUACAAAGAACUGAGGUGGUAAAGAAGCAUAUCAAGGAACUCCUGGAUAUGAUGAUUGCUGAAGAGGAAAGCCUGAAGGAAAGACUCAUCAAAAGCAUAUCCGUCUGUCAGAAAGAGCUG